This 375-nucleotide ribosomal RNA is filed under the name uncultured organism. RNAcentral describes it as "partial 16S ribosomal RNA". It matches the Rfam family "Bacterial small subunit ribosomal RNA", at positions 527 to 896 of the family's 1533-position model. The record is from RNAcentral.
GUAGGUGGCAAGCGUUGUCCGGGAAUUAUUGGGGCGUAAAGCGCGCGCAGGCGGUUCUUUAAGUCUGAUGUGAAAGCCCACGGGCUCAACCGUGGAGGGUCAUUGGAAACUGGAGAACUUGAGUACAGGAGAGGAAAGCGGAAUUCCACGUGUAGCGGUGAAAUGCGUAGAGAUGUGGAGGAGCACCAGUGGCGAAGGCGGCUUUCUGGUCUGUAACUGACGCUGAGGCGCGAAAGCGUGGGGAGCAAACAGGAUUAGAUACCCUGGUAGUCCACGCCGUAAACGAUGAGUGCUAAGUGUUAGGGGGUUUCCGCCCCUUAGUGCUGCAGCUAACGCAUUAAGCACUCCGCCUGGGGAGUACGGCCGCAAAGGCUG